UUCCUCCUGAAGUCAGGACUACAGCAGUGCUCGGUCUUGAACAAAAAGGUUUUUGUUUGUGUUACGAGUCAGCGUAGUCAAUCCGUUCCCUUUUAUGCCUGGAAACGUUCCCAUUUUCCCAGGGGAAGAAGAACUCAGGCUACAGCUGUGGAACGUGUGUUUCUUCCAACCAGUGAAGACCGGACGCCAUUCCUUCAUGCUACUGGGUUCUUGCAGCUGUAAUUUACAACACAGCUGUCAUAUCUGUGACAUCUGGGCCAGCUCCUCUGUGCCCAACCUCAGCCCUGUUCAGUUUGCCCCUGUACCCCCAAUUCUCCCCAGUAGCCAUCCCUGAACUGCACUUUCUAACUGCGGGAUUGCCCUUGAGUUGGGCUGCUGGAUCCUCCCUCACCCUUGCCUGACGCAGGAAGACAGUCAUCCUCACAGAAGACGAAGUUCAGUUCCACAGCUCGGCCUCAGAUCACAAGGGCGUGAGGAUUAAAGAGAGGAUACCACAGUCGGCCUCAGUAAUGGAUUUGAGGAGCAGUGCCCGCCUCCUUCACCCCAUCGCUGUCUGUGAGGUGUGUUCACGCUGCUCGCCAGAGGCCCCAGUGGGACUCCCUGCAGCUGCUCCUCUGGGAACCAGGUAACUCGCCGGCACAGCCGCAUCUUCCUGGUCUUCUUUCUCAUUUUUCCUCUUCCCUUCCAGCGUGUCCCAGGAUCACCUUCCAAAGAGGUGACUCGAACCCAAAUCCUUGCCUCAGGGUCUUUUUCCAGGAGAAUUCAAAGUAAGAGAGUUCUGUAUGGUGCAUUGGAGAAACAGAUUACGCACGAAUGUGGUUGUCUA
This 826-nucleotide long non-coding RNA is filed under the name Homo sapiens (human). RNAcentral's name for it is "HSALNT0157566". Lineage: Eukaryota; Metazoa; Chordata; Mammalia; Primates; Hominidae. The record is from RNAcentral.